Molecule: non-coding RNA, 107 nt
Filed under: Ochromonas sp. CCMP1393
Lineage: Eukaryota; Chrysophyceae; Chromulinales; Chromulinaceae
Source: RNAcentral
CAGAUGGGAAACUCUCAGAAAGAGAAAUCAUACGAUGAUAUCGAAGCUGAGAAAUUGAAGGAAGAAAAGGCAUUUGAUAUUCGUAAAAUAUACUGGGAUGCUAAUGG